This 501-nucleotide ribosomal RNA is filed under the name uncultured bacterium. RNAcentral's name for it is "bacterial SSU rRNA". It matches the Rfam family "Bacterial small subunit ribosomal RNA", at positions 28 to 520 of the family's 1533-position model. The record is from RNAcentral.
GAUGAACGCUAGAGGCAGGCUUAAUACAUGCAAGUCGAGGGGCAGCAUGAGUGUAGCAAUACAUUUGAUGGCGACCGGCAAACGGGUGCGGAACACGUACACAACCUUCCUAUAAGUGGGGAAUAGCCCAGAGAAAUUUGGAUUAAUACCCCGUAACAUAAUGAUGUGGCAUCACAUUAUUAUUAUAGCUUCGGCGCUUAUUGAUGGGUGUGCGGCUGAUUAGAUAGUUGGCGGGGUAACGGCCCACCAAGUCUACGAUCAGUAGCUGAUGUGAGAGCAUGAUCAGCCACACGGGCACUGAGACACGGGCCCGACUCCUACGGGAGGCAGCAGUAAGGAAUAUUGGUCAAUGGACGCAAGUCUGAACCAGCCAUGCCGCGUGAAGGAUUAAGGUCCUCUGGAUUGUAAACUUCUUUUAUCUGGGACGAAAAAAGACGAUUCUUCGUCACUUGACGGUACCAGAUGAAUAAGCACCGGCUAACUCCGUGCCAGCCGCCGCCG